Long non-coding RNA from Pan troglodytes (chimpanzee), 667 nucleotides. RefSeq lists it as uncharacterized. The record is from RefSeq and is a predicted model, not a curated record. The transcript is spliced from 4 exons. Lineage: Eukaryota; Metazoa; Chordata; Mammalia; Primates; Hominidae.
GACUCAUUCAGCCCCAGGUUUGAAUUUUUUCUAGUUUUCACACACACACACACCCACAAAAAGGCAUAAUACCUGUAAGAAGGAAAGCAGUCCUCUAGAAUUGAAGUGUUUGAAAAAAAGCUAUGAGCUCAAUGUUUUGGAGGAAAUCCCUUCUAUAGCAGUGGAAAGAAGGCAGCUCAUUUUGGACUUUGAAUGGUAGGACCGUAUCUGCUAUUCAGUUUUUGAAAUACAGCUGUGCCAUGUGCACUGAACCUUCACACUGGGACUCAGCUGCCAUGCUUCACCUUGGGUAUAAUGAUGACAGAGGCUGAGAAAGCCUAACAUCAUCAAUUAAAACAUCACUUCUACAAUGACAUUUCACUAGUCAGCUUAACAUCAUAAAUUAUGACAUCACCUCUUUCAUGAAACCAGAAGAUUGAAGAAAGGGGACUGACUGAGAAGCUAUUCCUACUGGAAACUAAGAUUCCUCUUUGAUUUGUGCCUUUAGAAUCUUUUUUGCUCUGAUUAUAUUGCCGAGAUGAUUACUAAAAAUAGUAAUAAUAAUAAAAACCUCACAAGAUCAUAGUGGAAGCCAUUAGAGCAAAUUGUACAUUUUCUAGCUCCCCUUAGUUAUGGUUCAACAUCCCUGGAUGGUGAUAUGAGGAUUUUAUUUCACAGCUGAACUAUG